RNAcentral lists this ribosomal RNA (399 nucleotides) under uncultured bacterium. RNAcentral describes it as "bacterial SSU rRNA". It matches the Rfam family "Bacterial small subunit ribosomal RNA", at positions 358 to 773 of the family's 1533-position model. The record is from RNAcentral.
CGAAUCUUCCGCAAUGCGCGAAAGCGUGACGGAGCAAUGCCGCGUGCAGGAUGAAGCCUCUCGGGGUGUAAACUGCUGUCAGGGUUUAGCAACACAAUGAGCAGACCCCAAGGAAGGGCCGGCUAACUUCGUGCCAGCAGCCGCGGUAAUACGAAGGGGCCGAGCGUUGCGCGGAAUCACUGGGCUUAAAGCGUACGUAGGCGGGCGCGCAGGCGUUUUGUGAAAGCCCUCGGCUCAACCGAGGAAUUGCUUGACGAACCGCGCGCCUUGAGGCAAGUAGGGGCUGUCGGAACGAUAGGUGGAGUGGUGAAAUGCGUUGAUAUCUAUCGGAACGCCGAAGGAGAAAUCAGGCAGCUGGGCUUGUCCUGACGCUCAGGUACGAAAGCGUGGGGAGCGAAC